Molecule: unclassified non-coding RNA, 13943 nt
Filed under: Leishmania donovani
Lineage: Eukaryota; Euglenozoa; Kinetoplastea; Trypanosomatida; Trypanosomatidae
Description: gene:LdHU3.11.1270(CDS-product:hypothetical_prote in_conserved)
Source: RNAcentral
ACUCACACACACGAACACGAAAAAAAGGAAAACAGCCACCACCACCACCACCACCAGUGCAAUACAGCCCGAUCAAGACCUCUUCCCUUCCAAUCAUCACACGCGCCGUUUGGUGCCUUUUCUCUCUCUCUAUCUACCCCCCCCCCCCCCCCCCCCCCAUCAUCGGGGCAGAUCGGCAUCUCAACGUCUGCCUCCGUCCGUUUUUUCAUCCUUAGAACAAACCGCAAAGCAAAGGACAAAAAAAAAGUAAAAGUAAAACCCUCCCUGAUUCCACGGCGCGAGAAAGGGGAACGCGGCACCGACACACGCAGUCUGCGCGCAGCCGUAGGAAGCAGUGCUGAAGGAGUCGCACACUUGUUUCUGCCCCGCGGCGUUUCCAGCCUGCGUUUUCGACAGGUCGGCGGCCAUCGACUCUGCUCUCUUCCCCUCAGGCUGCAACACGCGUCAACGGUGUUACCAGAGGAGAUCGACUGGUGCACAGAGCAGCUCCGUUUUUAAUGUAUUUAAGAACAUUUUAUUUUCGGUUGUGCGCGCCGACUUUGUGGGCAGAGACAGCCAAACGGUGAAUUUCUCUGUUCGUGGGCGGUGACUCUUUUCUUCGUCUUUUCUUUUUCUACCUCGGACUUGCAUUCUGUCAUUGCUAUCUGUUUCGGUGUGUGCGCUUCGUAGGCAGCACCGCUGGUUCCCUCCUUUCCCUCUAUUUGUGCGUGAGUGCGCACGUGUGUGUCUGUGUACUGCCUGCUGGCCCUUCACAGAAGGACGUGCUCGUCUCCCGACGCCGCAACGCAGUUUGGUCAGCACAGAAAAAAGUAGUUACCCGGCGGAAGGCCGCAUAGAGGAGUUGUGCGAGUCGAGAGCAGAGCAAACAGAGAUCGACAGCUGCGCCGUGGAGGAAAAAAAAAGCGAGCGAAGUGCAACGCAGCAGCCGUGCAGCGAGGACAUCGCGCACCGCAGGUGCAUGGAAGGAAAGCGUGAGGCCGACAACGGCGCUUCACUAGCAGCAUUCUCGCGCCCUACUGACGCUCAAACAUUUUGCUUUUUUUUCUUUGCUCGCAUUGCUUCGCCCACAGCAGCUCUGCUUCGCCACUAGCUCACCCACUCUACCUACUCCUGCUCCCGGUUCUCUUGGCGUUUUUCUUUCCCACCUAGCCGUACGCUUAUCCACCCUUAUCAUCGUCGCUCGAAGAAGGGGAGGGGACACUUCUCCCCACUCUAGUUCUCCCUUUGUGUGUUUUUUUUUUUCUUCGCUGCUCAUCUCCGUCGAUUUCUCCGGUCUCGGCAUCUUCGUCAUCAACGCUCUCGAGCGUGAACGCAUAAUAUAUCGUUGCCCCACCUUCCGCUCUCUUCUUCCCUUGCUCUCCUCUUUUCCGGUUUCGAUCUCUGCAGAACCCCUCUUUUUCUCCUGCUCGUCUGCUGCCUUCACAGGCCUGGCAGGGGGUGGGUGGGGGGCCUUAUCGUAACACUACGAACUACCCACCCUACACCCACACAGACACGACCACCCCACCGCAGUGCUGAGUCGCAUACACGCUUCCUCCUCCUCCCUCCUUUUCUUUUACUUCUUCUUCCCUUCUUCUCUCCGUUCACUGCUUCGCUUAUCGAUUUUGCACGUUUUCUUUUCGCGUCUUCACAGGAUUUUGCUUUGGUCGCUUAUCGCCUCUUUUUUUUGUGUGUUGUUCGUGUGUUUCUUCCGCUCGUUUCGGCUUGUUUUUUUUAUCUUUUUUUGUUCGUCUGUUGUUCUCACAUACCCGGGACACCUCAGCGUGACCCACAGCGGCCAGCCUUCUCCCCCCCCCCCCCCCAUCAGGCUGCCGGUACGAAAGUCACCAUCACACCAGUACACACCGUCACACAUACACACACACACACACACACACACACCGAAGAGGAGGGGAAAGGCACCUGUUGGCUGUGUAGAUGUCUAUAUCUCUCCUCUCUCAGUCUGCUCCUCAUUGCCAAACCCCCCUCCUUCUUCUCCCUCACAGAGCUCAUCACUCACUUUUGCCCCAGCCUAAACACACGCACACACACUCCCCCUUUCUUACGCCGUUUCCUAGUUGUGUUGUCCUCGGUCGCUCAGCACCCUUGCCCUCUUUCCUGCCGCACCGCCUUUUCGUGCUUGAGCGCCACAGGUCUCACCUCUUGCCCUCUCUAGUCUCCCGUUCUGUGUGAGCCGUGCCGAGCUCUCUUUCCCUUUCUUCGCUUAGUUUUUUUCCCCUCCUCCUUUCCGUCCUCUCUCCUUCCAGCACCUUCGAGACCCGCCCGCCCCGCACGCUGACUUCUUGGUGGUUCUGUUGGCUUGUAUUCUUCCUUGUGCUCUUCGGAUUCUGCUCCUGCUUCAGUCACGUGGGUUCCUUAUACACACAUAUAUAUAUGUAUAUGUGUAUGUAUGUAUACAUAUGUGUGCGUGUAUGUGUAUGUGCUGAUCUGCAUCAUCAUCAUCAUCAUCACUGCCAUCAUCCACACAUUUUUGUCGUUGCGGCGUUCUUUGUUGUUUGAUCAUUGGGCUUCUUCUAUCUCCCUCUUCGUCUCCCCAUCCCUCCUCCCACACGCCCCCCUUUCGCCCCUUCUUUAUUGUUUGGAGGGGGGGCUUUCGCUCUGCUCUUCACAAUCGAGGCUUUCUCGCUCCGAAUUUUUUUAUUAUUCUUGCUGUUGCUCUCUCCGUGCGUUUGUGUUUUGUCGUUAACUCGAGUACUGGUCGUUUUUCUCCCCUUGUCCCCUUCCUGCUUUCUUCUUUCUUCGCUGUAGUUGCUGCUUCUCGCGCUUUCUUUUUUUUUCAUAGUUCGGCUCCGUAACUCUCUCUCCUUUUUUUUUUGGUAGCACGAACUCACAGAUAUACGCUUAGACCCUCCCCUCUUCUCCCUCCCCCCUCACACACGUACACACCGGCUCCUCUUACUUCACCAAAGCAUCGGCGGUACGCCGACUCACCGACGCGCACAACAGCAUCAGCCCGCGCACGCACGACGGCUCGUACAGACCCUCCAUCCAGCACACGCGCACACCCGAGCAGGCAAAAACUCUCCCUUUCAUUUUCCUCCUGUCGCCGAGCUGCUUCGUACGUGCUUCCCGUGCUGUGCUGCUUGCUGUGUCCUUUUUUUUUGCGUUUUCGGACUUUGCUGGUUUGCUUGCGCGUGCCUGUCUGUCUGUCUGCUCUCCUGGUGUACCUCGUGAGCUCGCGCGCGUGCGCCUUGUGGUACUUCUGCCGUUGUGUCUUACCUUGCUCAUCUUCAGCAUUACCGCUUGGUUCUUCGUCUUCUGCCUGCCUUCUUUUUCCCCUUUUUUUCUUUUUGAAAGUGUUGUUUCUCGAUUUUUAGUCCGUUGCGUGAUCGAUUUUUAUUGAUUUGGGUGGGGCAUGUGUGACUGUCAGAGUUCCUCGACAGGGAAUUUACAGUGACGUGAAAGCGACGGGGAGUGGCAUCAAGAUCAGCAGCGGUAGUGACCGUGGACAACUGCACCGGCUCGACGAAGGAGGAGCAGCACUGAGAGACAAGAUCUUCUCUGCUGCUCGAUUUGUUUCGCCUCAAGCCCUCUCCUCUGUUUUCUCCGACUUGCUGCGGUUGUUUCUCCAUUGCUCACGCACACGCACACGCACACGCACACGCACACGCACACGCACACGCACACGCACACGCACACGCACACGCACACGCACACGCACACGCACACACUUCGGCACACCCAAUCUACGAAGGUACGCAAGCUAGAUUCGAGCUUCCUUUUUUUUUGUGCUCUCUAACCCGGCCUCUUCACGCCCUUUCUCUCUGUUCUCCCGCAGUCACACUUCUUCUCUUUCCGUUGGCCGGAUCACUGUGAUAUCGAGUGCAACGUCGUGUUACCGUCCAUCUACUAAUCGCUUUUCGUUGCUUUACGGUUGUUUUCCUUUGCUUUUUCACAUACCUUUUCUCUGCUCGAUUUUGUGUUGCGUUCAGUUUUGCUCCCUUUCGCCGUGUGUGUCUGUCUGUCCCGUCGUCGUUGUCCGCCACUCCUCCUCCUCCUUCCUCCUCCGCGUCUUCUUGUUUUCUGUUUCUCCCUUCCUGCACCGACUUCGUCUGAGUUUUCCCUUUUCUUUUUUUUUCCCUUUCUCGGGCUCUUUUCUGUUGUCUCGCCUUGGUUCUGCGUGUUUACGUUGUAUGUAGCGUAUUUGGCGGCGCGGAAUACCCCCCUCACUCGUCUUCUUGAUAUUCUACUCUCUUUGGUGUCGACCGAUACGCAUACAACGAAACGGACGAACAGCAACAUCCUAGAAGGAUACGGGAAGCCGUCCCUACCACCACUCAGCUUGGGGGUGGGGUGUGCUACGGAGCUCGGUGCGACGCCUAACGCGAUUGUGUGCGUGCCUAUGUAUGUAUGCAUCUGCGUGUGUGCGUGUGUGUGUGAUCGUUUUUCGUCCUUGCCCUUGCUAGCCUGCUAACUGUCUCCCCUGUGUUUGCUUCUCCUCGAUUGGACACUUUUUUUUUCAGCUUGUAUCCCGUCGUUUUUCUCUUCCCUCUCCCCUCCUGUACUUUGACUUCUGCAAGCGCUGAAAGCAACUGACAGCGCUCCUCGGUGGUCUCUCGCUCGCUCUUUCUUUUUCUUUUGCUCGCCUUACGUUUCUUUUCUGUUCGUCACUCUUUUUUUUUUCGUUUUAGUUGUUUCCUUCGUGCGCACUCGAAGGGGGUGGGAUCGGCGUGACGGUGGCUACAUGCUCACGCCUUCUCUAAGGCACCUGCGUCUACCUGAGUACGUGUACGUUUCUCUUCACAAGCGUUUUCGUUUUUUUUUUAGUCAUUUCCUCCCGCUGUGGCGUAACGCUGGAGUGUUUUCUCUGUCCUGCCUCCUUGUGUGUUGCUCGCUUUCUCUGCUUGCCUGCCUGCCUGCCUGUGUGUGUGUGUGUGCACACGCUCUGCCUCUGCUUGUCUUACACACGUACGUACAUACCUAUCAUUUGAUCUUCGGCGUUUUCGUUUUUUUUUUGUGUGUGCGCGUGUGUGUGUCACGCUUGUGUUUCUCACGCGUGCACCCCACCGCCCAUCCCCAAUCAAUCUCUCUCCCACCACUUCUUCUCUCCUUCGCCCUCCACCACCACCACCACACUUCCACUCCAUUUUUUUUUCCUUCUGCAUCGACCCUCUCUCUUGAAUAUCGUUUUUGUUUAUUUUGUUCCUUUGUCUUCUGUCUCCCACACCUCCAUCACACAUUUUUCGUUCCCCUCUGUUUCGCUUCUGUUUUGCUGCCCACUUCCACGCAUCCCUCCUCCCACUUUCCGCUCCACCUCCUCUUCUUUCGACUUUUCUUUACGUUCUUAUUCACAGAAACGUUGUUGUUGUUUCUUCUUUCGAUCGUGUGCACCGCCGCCGCCUCUUCUCGUUACCAUCAUUCGCCCUUCAUCCUUUUUUUUAUCAUCUUCUUGUUCUCCUGAACUGAAUUAAGCUUUUUUUUCGUUUCUUGUCGUCCUGCGGGUCUUUCUGCGUCACACGGUGCGUGUGAUCCCUCCUGUCGGCGUGCACCGGUGUGCUGACCCCCUCCCUGCCCCCCUCCACCGCUUUUUUGUUUCUGCUCUCUCCCUCCCCACCUUCUGUGACCCACCCGUGCCACUGCAAGGCCGACCCCCUCCCCCCGCUGUCCCUCCUAUCCCCCUCUCACUCCGUCUUGUCCACGACACUACAUUUCACGGUUUUUCUUUGUGUCGCCACCUCCCGCCACACCCGUGACAACUGUGGAAGUAGCACAACACUCACAAACGAGGCAAGCACUCAUAAUACCCCCCUGAAAACGGAAGGGACGACAACGAGUCUAAGCGGCGCGCGUGUCGGAGGCACAGGAACGUUAGCGAGAGGAAUGACGGGUCAGCAUCUUCAAGGAGUGGAUGCAAACCAAACACUUUUUUUUUACAUAUCAGUGCACACACACACACACACAUACACAAACUUAAUCAGAACACCUCCACACCAAGGAAACGCCGUCCGGGGGAGGGGGUAAGGGCAGAAAGAGGGCUCCCAGCGCUCUGCUUCACAUAAAACGCCCAACCUUCCUUCCUUCCACACCGUCAUAUCUGUACGCUCCUGCCGUCUCUUUUUAUUUUGGAGGGAGAGAGGAACCUCUUUCUCCGUGUCUUGUGUGUGCGCUCCUCUUCGUUUCGCGUUGUGAACUGAUUUCGUGUUUUCAAAUUUAGCUGCGUCGUUUCUCGCGGCUUGCGUCCCUCCUCCCGCCUUUAUUCUUUUUUUUUUUGCAUCAAUCGGCGGGCUGCACUCACUGUCGACCCCUUUUCGGGCACUCUGCGUCUUUGUGCUGGUUUUGCCUUAGCGCGCCCAACGUAGUCGACAGGGGGGGGCGCAACAGCGGUGCGUCGAUACAUUCAACGCUGCAGCGGGUCACGCUGAAAAAAAACAAGGAAUCGAGGGAGGGGGGGGGUUGGGUGGGUGGGUGGAGCAGAGUUUGGCGCGAGGAACGUCGGCUUUGGGCAAGCGGCGCUCCCAAUCCCCCCUUUUCUUUUUUUCCCCGCACCCCUUUCGCUUGCCCAGCCCGGCAAGGAGCGCUUCGAAACAACGAGGAGGAGGAAGGCACCGCCACACAUACACCUUUUGAGCACGCACUGCGAUACACAGACGAGGAAACAACGCAUUCACAUAUUAGACACAGAAAACCUGCAGUACGCAUACACAAAACAAAUAUAUAGACAUACAGAGGCAUAAUUCGCGAAGACACUCGCGCAGGGUCGCCGAGCCCCCUCACACAUACACACACACACACAGGCGCACAUACACAACCCCUGGCGCUCUUGUAGUGUCCACGCUGCUGCACAAUACCCCUCCCUCCCUUCCGCUUACCCGCCCCACCGUUUCAGGUGCUCACAGCGCUCCACACUCACCCAACGCCGAAAUAAGCGUAGUCCUCAUCGGUAUCACUGGCCGACAUAUACACCCUCACUCAUACGGGGAACGUGUGCACGAAGCAGGACAGCAACGUGAGCGUGUCCCCUCGUGUUGUCGUCCCUGCUCUUCUCCCUCUCCCUUCGUAUUCCACUCUCUGCACACCCCCGACCCACCCUCUGCCUCUCUCCGCUUCUUUUCUCUUUUUUUUUCCCAUUCUGGCUUCUCGUGCUCCCAUCUCCCUCUCAGUGACGCCGUCGCCCUCGCCCUUCCUGCAAGCCCACCUUCCUCUCGGUCGAGUCGUGGGCGUUGCGCUUGAUCUCGUUGCACCAUCAUUGUCAUCUUUCUUCUUUUUUUUUUCGAAAGCGAGGCACCUCAACGUGCAGCGGCGGACCCUUUCGUUUUGGACCGCUCCACUCCGCCUUCGCUUCUUACGCGCUUGCUCGACGACGCUAGUGUGCUGGUUUGGUGCGCGUCCGUUGUGUUCCGGGUCGUUAUUUUUCUGCUUCCGUUUUGUGUGUGUGCGUGCGUGUUUCUUUUUUUUUUCCAUUUCCUAGGUACGCCUUUCGCUGGCGACUGUUGGGGAGGGCAAGAGAGAGAAAGAUAGGCGGAGGGCGGCGAGGCACAAAAGUGGUGCCUGUGUUUGCUCUCCGUCUCCUUGUCCGGCGAAGGCCACGCCUCUGUCUUUUAUGUGCGUGCGCGUGAAAGUUUGGUGUUGGUCUCCUCUGCGUCGGCACGCUUCCCUCGCUCUGUUCUGCAUACUCCGUGUGCGUUUUUUUUUUCCGUGCUUUCCUCUUUGGCUACCCGUAGUUUCUGUGCGUGUGCGUGUGUGGUCUUUCUUUGCCGCCUUCCCUCCCCUCCUCUCCUCUUCGCCCCUUCUCGCGCGUGUGUGUCUGGUGUGAUCUCUCCCGUUCUCUUUCACGACCCUUUCGUUUUUUUUUUUCGUUGUUGUUGUUGUUUUCUGCCGUGCCCUCGUUGCUAAGGGAGACACUCUCUAAGCGCGCCCCAUACAUCUAUACACCUCCACACCGACAGGCUUGCAAAGGCGCACGCACACAAACCGGAUUGUUCAGACGGGUGAUCGCUGACUUCAUGUGCACGCGAUUGAGCAUGAGCAGCUACCACCACAACCCGUACCGGCAAUCGUCCGCCUCGUAUACUCCGCAGCAGGCCUCUCAUCAACCGCAGGGGCAGUCGCACACUGCCACCCGCGCCUCGGCGCAGCCACCACCGCCGCCUCCGGCCGCUGAUACGGAUGAUUCCAUCAGCCGACUCUCGAGCCAGAGCUUCUCUGACUCCAUCAGGGGGGCGCUUGCCCAUUCGAUGCUGCCUGUUGCGCGCGCCGUCUCAGUUACAGGCAGCGCGCGUGCGGGCGGCCCGGCGUCUGCGUCGACCUCCACGCAUUCCCAUCCCUUCAGCAGUGUCGUGAACAUGGCAAUGGGCGGGACGGCAGCGCUGGCGACUUCGACGACAGCCACCAUGCCCGCCCAUGACUUUGUAGCGUGCCGUGAGCGCCCGACACUGUUUUCUUCGCCGUUCGAUGGUGUGAACUCGCAGCACCAGUCGCUGAACUCGCCGCUGCACGGACUUCCACUGCCGCGGUCGCGGCACAGCGCCGAUGCCGGUGGCGACGAUUUACCGCUCGCCGAGAACACCGUGGGCUCGCUGCCGAGCGCGAGCACCCCCACUCGGUGCUCUGCCGCUCCCCUGCGGUCGCGCCAAGCGCUGUCGAACGCGCAGUCUCUAAGCUCCACGAUUGCUCUGGAGCGGCACUCCUUCUCCGACUGGUAUGCGACGGCGGCGUGGGAAGACCCAUCCACCGGCUCGUGCCCGAGCAGCAGCAGCUGGUCUCUGCUGAACCAGCCGCAACCGCGCAACACUGCCCGCGCGAUGGCGUCUUCACCGAUCUCCCCUGUCGACACAGUCGCCACGACGCUCUUCAUCGAUGGUCUGCCUGCGUUCAUCGAGAACAAGUGGCAGCUGCAGCCUUAUGUGCCACCACAGGGAUUGGUGGCGCUUCGUGUAAAGAGCUCGCGAGGCAGGAACGUCGGCUUCGCCGUCUACGACAGCAUCGCAGCCGCGCGGGAAGCCUUGACGUGGUUCAAGCAGAUGCUGAUCAUCAAGGAAGUGGUACAGACUUCCACAUUCGGCGCACCACCCGCUGCCGAGUCCGCGCGAGGGACUGAGGCGCCGCCUGCCCUUGCGUGCGGUGACCGCAGUGCGCCGCCCGCUGGCGGGACGAGUGAUUGCUUCCCCAGCUCGCCGGUCGAGUCGGAGCCGACGCCGCUGGAGUACGAGGAGUACCUCUGCACCCAGUCAGUGCCCGGCCAGUUUGCAUCUUUGCUGCGGAGGUGCACCCUUCUGCGAGCGGAGUGGGCCCGAAGCUUGGAGACUCAGCACCCACCCACUAACGUGGCGGCCGCUGCGGCUGCCGCUGCCAGCUCUCUCGCCUCCUCCCCCUUGUCCUACCCACCAUCGCCGUGGGGGACGGCAGCGGCGGUGAUCCGUCCACCGCAGCCACCACCGAUGGCGAUGGCGGCGCCGCACUUAGGCCGAGAGCCGAGCCACGACGGCGGCGACAGCUACUCGCAGGUGUCAGAGCCGGCCCGGCCAGCGUCAACACUACAGGCAGCUCCUCAUCAUCCACUGCCGUCGCCCAUCGCGUGGUCUCCGGGUUUGCAGUCUCCUCAGCAGCCACUAAACCCUUGCGCCGCUGUCGGCUGUGCUGAGGCACAGACCACACACCCGCCAGCGCAUAACCCGUCGUUUCCGUCAACGCCGCACCACGCGCUUUCGCCGGUGACGCGCCGCGUUUGGGCUUCCUCGGCACCAUCAGCGCCGUUGCAGAGGCCGGAGAUGCGCUGCUACUACGACUGCGGCGCCGCUAAGAAAGCCUACCACCAACACGCGCAUUCCACCACUUGCCAACCUCCUUUUCCUGCGCAUUGGGGCUCGCACAUGGCUAAGCGCAGCGAUGCGCGUGAGCGGGUGGAUGCCUGGCGAGGCGCACCACCAGAGCCGCCAGCACUGCCGUACCGUCAAGACGAACCACAUCUGCAGCAGCGCCACGCGUCUUACCAUCACCCCCGGCAUUCGAGUGAGCCUCCCCUCCCUUCCCGUACGCUCUUUGUGCGCCUCAUCCACAACUUCGACGCACCCGGGUACCUGCAGCAAGACCAGGUGCGCAGCAGCACCGGCAGCAGCACAGGUAGUGCGAGUGCGAUGCACAUGAAGCCGUUCACGACGGUGGGGCUACCACCAACCAUUGAAGGUUCAGUGACCGCGCCGGGGACUACCACUGCGUACGCCGAGGAAGCUGCGCCGCCGACACCGACGCGGCUUGUAUCGCAGACCACCCCCUCGCUACAGGUGCCACCAACGAGCGGUGCCGCAGGCACCCGCCUGCUGGUCUCGGCCGUGCCGCACCAUCACCACCACAUUUGCUACCAAUCGUCGUCCUCGCCAACCUCGACGGCGACCCCGCAUCUGCGCAGUCCGCUGGAUAACCGAGGUACACAAGCGUAUUCCUCAUUGCAGCCACCACCGUCUUCGCAGCUGACGGGCCCAUGUGCUGACCGUCAUGGCGGCGGCGCUGGUGCUGCCGACGAAGCCCUCUCGCGGCCGUCGCCGAACGCAGAGGACCGCGAGUUCUUCCGCUUCGCACAGAGCGUGCUGCGCGAGGAGUACUUCUCCGAGAAGUUUGCCGGCUUCCUCCGGUACCGCGAGUUCUUGCGUCCGCCGUACUACGGCGGCUGUUUUGUGCUCUUUGAGCGAGGAGAAGACAUGCAGCGCUGCCUCCAGUGGAUGCGCAAGGAUGAGCGGCUCAUGAAGUUGUUUGCAGUCGCACCCGCCCGCAACGACAGCUUCGGCCCUUGAGUAUACGACUUGCUGGCACGCCCGUUCAUCUCCAGCGCUUGCUGGGAUCUGGGCUGCUGGUGUGGGGGCGAGCUUGGGGCAGAUGUUGUGUGGUCGUGCUUGCUCUUUCCUUUGUGUGUGUGUGUGUGCCCGCAAUGUAUUUAAAGGGAUCGCGUGCACACACAGGUGGGUGACGGGUGGUGGUGAUACACUGCCCGCAUCGGGCACCACGGUGCGUGUGCAUGUAUGUAUGUAUGCGUGUGUGUGUGUGCUUAUGCCCUCUCUCUCUUUCUCUGCGAGUGUGUGGCCACGACCUCCACUCAUCUUAAAAAAAAAACUAUUUGAAAUGAAAAAUUUUCCCUACCGCCCUCCUCUCCUUUGUUUGCGCCUGUGUGUGUAUUCUCCUCCCUCACCUUCCCUUUUUGUUUUGCUUGAGUUUUUUAUUUUAUUUUUUUUUCUGCGUAGUACCAUGUAUCGCUUACGAUAGCUUCUAUUUCGGCUCCUCUCCACCCUCUCUUUUUAAUAUAUAUAUAUAUUGUGUAUUUAAUAUAUCGUUCAUAUAGUUAAUACGUUUGGUUGUUGGUUGACUGUAUUUGUAUCUGAUGUUUUUCUUUUUUGGUCGUGUGUUUCGUGUUCCUCUUCAUUCUUGCAUGUGCGACUGUCUAUUUUACUAUUAUGGCUCGAUCUUUUUUUUUCGUUCCUUUUUUUUCUCUGUGUAUCCAUCGACAUCAGAAGUAUCACCUUGUCUGCCAUAUCUCUCGCUUCCACUCUCGCCUCUUCUCCUCUCCUUUUCAUUCAGCAUCUAUCUCCCUCUCAAUAUACCGUAUUUUCUUGUUUGGCGCGUUUCUUUCUCUGUAUCUCUCUGUGUGUGCAUGUCUGCCUGCCUGUCUGUGUGCAUGUAUGUCGGUCGGCGUGUUUUCUCUCCCGCGCCUCUCCGCACUUUUUUAUUUAUUUUUAUAUUUUCGCCCUUUUCAUCUCCGUUGUUUUAAAGUGUUCUCUCUUUUUUUCUUACGUGUCUCCUUGAGUAGCACGUGCUCUAUCUGUGCCUGCGCCUGUGCCUGUGUGUGUGUGGAGUCGGAGCAGGGCCAGGUGAAGCGCCAACACACACCGACACCACACACACACACACACAAGGCACACACACACACACAAACCGCCGAUACGCGGACACACCCCUCUCGCGUUUGGAGCAACGUGGCUCUGACACCUCUUUUUAUUUUAUUUGCGGUUCUUCCCUUUUCCACCUUUUCUGUUCGUCCUUCGCGCCUUCGCCUCCCCACGAGCCGUGUUGCGUCGUUCUUUUCUAUUUUCCUUUUUUGCUUUUCUCUCAACGAUGCCACCCGUUGCGUUUUUGGUGUUUGGGUUCAUUACAUUUUUUUUCGUGUUUUUUUUUCCGUGCUUCAUGCGUGUGUCGGCGUGGCGGCCUCUUCCGCUGCUGUCAGCUCGACACCCGCACACACUCGCCCGGAAAGGAAAGCGCGACAACAAAAGAGGGCUGCCGGGGAGAUGUAGGCGGAUAAAAAAGGGGGAAAGAAGACGCUCAAGAUGCGUGCAAGGGCUUUUUUUAUUUUGUUUUAUGCCCUUGUCAUUGUUUUGCUCUUGUUAGCGUGCUAACGUGUUUUCUCGUCACGCGCCGUCACCAAAAAAAAUAUUUUUCCUCUUCUUCGUCUUUCCGUUUCAUGCUCGUUUUUUCUUGUUUUCUGGGUUUCUUUCAUUUUUUUUGUGCUUCCCGUUGGCCUCUUCUGUUUUGUACGUCACCGCAGGGUGCCUUCGCCACUGCCCAUGCGCUCAACAACAAGAAGCGAUAUUUCGCACGCCUCCGCUUACGCGCACACACGACGCUGUCAUGUCUGCACCGCGAAGGCUGGAAGUAAGGAGAGACGCAGUGGUUAACGAAAAACAAUCAAGCAAAAAGAAGAAAAAACGAAAAGUGUGGCGAGGAAGGAGGAGGGAGGGGGCGCGGAUGGGCUAGAGACGCGUGAGCCGGUCCGUCGAACUGCCCUCUCCCUCUCUCUCAUCGAAAGCGGCCCGAGAUGUUUUCGCUUCGCACCGCCACCAUUCUCUUUCGCCUUUUCAGUCCCUUGCGACUGUGCUAACGAAAAGUGACGACGUUGCACCGUCACUCCCACCUCUCUUCCGCUCCUUUGGUCCUCCGGUUCUCAUCGCACAUGCCCUCCGUAGAUUUCUGCUUUUCUCAUUUUCUUUCUGUGAAUGCAAGUCACGUCUUCCCUCUUGUUUUUCGUCUUGGUCUAUUUCUGUUUCCGUUUCCCCCCUUUUUGUGCGUGUGAUUGGUUGCCGAGGAUCCGCGUCGGCGCUGUCUGCCUCUUCCGCUUCCUCACUGCAUCUGGUGUCCGCCGGACACCCAUUCAUCCAUGAAGCGAACAACAACAAUACGAGGAAGGAGCGAACGAAAAAAAAAGUGAAACCGGUGGCCUGUCGUUUCUGUAUCGUUUUCUUUUUUUUUGGUCUUCAGGCGUGCUUGCUUUUUUGUUUCGUGUGCGUGUUUUAUGGUACGCAUAGUGUUGUCGUCUCCGCUCGGCCCCCUCUUCGCACUCUCCCCUCCCCUCCCCCCAUCCUCCCCCUUCACACAUGUAUCCUCUCCCUAUCAACCUCUCUAUCGAUAUAUAGGUAUGCCUCUUUAUAUGUAUUGCACGUGUAGCACGGUGUAUCCGAGCGUAUCUUGUAUUCCUUUGUUUUUUUUUUUUACCUUUCCUUUUUUUCCCUUGCUUUUCCCUCUCUCUAGCACGGACGCACACAGAUACACGCGCACCAUUUACGUGUGCACUGCGUCCAUGUGUAAAGGGGGAGGGGGGACACCGCAGGAGGCCGGGCAGGGGAACGAGGAGGCAGGACAACAACACAGGAACCCAACACGGGAAGGGCCGAGAAGCAACGAAAUCAGAGCACUGUUGUUGUCGCAGCACAAGCACCGCCAGAGCAGCAUCAUGCAUUCUCAACAUGUAUGCUGUGUGUGUGUGUGUGUGCGGGCUGCGACAACAACUCCUGGUGUUCUGAGCCCAACAGGCCCCCUCCCCUUCCCCCUCCCUUCUAGCUGUCCCCUCUCUCGCCGUCCCUAUGCCAGAUCCUCAGAGAUUGCCCGUCUCUUUAUAUAUGUACAUGCACACACGUGUGUGCGGUACUGAAGGGAAGAAAAAAAAAGGGAUAAGACAACGUAAGACGGCAAGAAAAACCGAAAAGAGAGUAGCAAGAAGUCAUUCAACCCCAUCCAUGGGAAGG